This 60-nucleotide microRNA precursor is filed under the name Xenoturbella bocki. RNAcentral's name for it is "Xbo-Mir-12495_pre stem-loop". The record is from RNAcentral. Lineage: Eukaryota; Metazoa; Xenacoelomorpha; Xenoturbellidae.
CGUGUGAUAUUCAGGGCUAGCCUUUAUUCUCAGUCAAGAUUAGCUUGGGUGUCACAUGUG